GGAGAUUUGGCUCAGUGGUAGAGCACUUGCCUAGCAAGCGUAAGGUCCUGGGUUCGGUCCCCAGCUCCA
This 69-nucleotide transfer RNA is filed under the name Rattus norvegicus (Norway rat). It matches the Rfam family "tRNA". Rfam says of the family: Transfer RNA (tRNA) molecules are approximately 80 nucleotides in length. The record is from Rfam by way of RNAcentral. Lineage: Eukaryota; Metazoa; Chordata; Mammalia; Rodentia; Muridae.